Molecule: long non-coding RNA, 3174 nt
Organism: Scophthalmus maximus (turbot)
Lineage: Eukaryota; Metazoa; Chordata; Actinopteri; Pleuronectiformes; Scophthalmidae
Source: Ensembl
AUGAAAUUUAACCUGAUUUCCCCCCCCCCGAUGUUGCAGCAUUUUCAUUUCUUAAUUUUAGAAAUUUACUCUGAUUUCAAACAUUAUUCAUUGAUUCCAACUUGGGGAGAAAAACUAGAGUGCAGCAUUAAUGAGAUGAAUCUGCCUGAUGUAAGUUCUCUCUUGAAGUAUAAUAUAUAUAGCAUAUAUUUAGUGUAUAAUUCAAGGAUUUCCAGCCAUUCUCUGUCACAGCUGGGGAUUAUGUUCCAUCUAAAAAAAAGAAAAGAGACCAGUACACGCAGUCAACUUAGUGAUGUGUGUUCCUUCCUGCUGACACCACCUGUGAUUCUUAUUCUCAGGUCCGGUCCCUCCAGACUGAUGGGCCACUCAGCUGUGGCCUACAAGGAUAGCAUGCUGCUUUUCGGGGGUGGCGAGAGCCAGAAUUCGCCAAAGAACUGCCUGUGGAGGUACAACUUCAACAAUCAGACCUGGGGGCAGGUGGCCACACUCCCAGGCUCUAGCCCCCCGGACAAGAUUCACCACUGCUGCACUGGGCUGGGUCCAAGCUACAAGUCGGACACCAGCAGCCCCUCCUCCAACUCAGGACGCCAACCCAGGCUACUGGAGGACAAGGCCUUCAGACCCUUCAAGAACAAGUGUUUCCCUGCACCUCUCACGUUUCUAGGAUCAGAGGGCGACAUCGAGCUGGAGACGUUCAGCCUGGACAAGUGCUACGGUAGCAAAACACUCACACAGCUGGAGAAAAGCAAAGAGGGCUCGACGGGGAAAGAGGAGCCGCAGGUCAGAUACUGUUUGACCUUUGAGAACAAAGCUUUCAGCAAACAGUGGAGCUGCACAGAGGAGGACUUGCUCAAUGAGGACGAUAGUGACAUAGUUCAGCACCUGCCCGAUCUGCUGCUGGUGCUUGGAGGAAGACCUUGCACCAGUCUUGGCCCCAUGUCCAUAUGGCAAAUGACUCUCACUGACUCAGAACAGCCAGUGAAGAACAAACUGACUUUUUUCACGAACUUCCAUCAGCUGAAGCUCAGUGUGAAUCUCAGGAGAUGGAUCAGGUUCAGUGAUUUCAAACAGUUGCAGCCCAUCACAUGCAACCAGCCAGGACAAAGAAUAUCAAAAAGGAGUAUUACUUAACCCCAACCCCUUGUACACCUUUGGUUAAUGAUUAUGUAAUAGAUUUGGGGUUUUUUCCACACAGCAUGUGGGAUUCGUCAACUAUGAGAAAAAUAUAAGAUGAUAACAUCAUCUAUAAGGUUGUCUUAAGGUUAACUCAUCGUGCGACUGAAAUCAUCAUUGCCUACUGUUUUGAGCUCAUUCCAGCUCAGGAAAUAUUCAGAUACAAUUUCUUUUUCUUUACUUGGUCUCCCUGGAAAACACUACAAUUCAAAGUUCUAGUGGAGGGAAAAUUAACAGAGUUUAUUUAGAAAUUACACAGUAAAGUCAGCUCAAUAACUUACUAACACAACUAACAUCUGCUUUACUGUCAUUUUCUAUCUGAUGACUUUCAGUAUGUAAACCUGUUUAAUGUGUGCGCUUCAUUUGGUCUGUUGACUGGCAUCACUGCUCCAAAUAUGACCUAUUACACAUUCUGAGAGUGUAAAUGCAUAAUGCUGACUGCAUUAAUGUAAUAUACUGUGAUCUCCCGUAUUGCUGUGAUAAACUUGUGUUUAAUAAAGUCUUUCUAACUAUUUAUUUUGUUAUUGUUGUUGGGAUUAUGACGUCAUUAUAUUACAAAUAGAGAGUGGUUCUCAACUUUUUGAAAGUAAGCAAUAUCUCAUCGGCGAGAUUGAUCCAAAGAGUGGAGGCCUAACAGCUGGGACUGUGGGAUGGCGAGGACAUCAGGUCACGAGUGGGCACAUGUUAUUAAAUCUAUCUAUCUAUCUUAGAGCUGCAACAGUUAAUCGAUUAAUCGAUUAGUAAUCGACUCCUGGAUUAAUAAUCGAUUAAUUGGUUCAACCAGUUUUUAUGAAGAAAAAAAUUCUCUGAUUUCAGCUUGUUAAAUGUUAAUAUUUUUUUGUUUCUUUUGCUCCUCUGUGACAGUCAACUGAAUAUCUUUGGUGUGUGGACAAAACAAAACAUCAUCUUGGGCUUUUGGGAACCACGAUAGAUCGACAGAAAAUCAACAGUUGAUAAUGAAAAUAAUCAUUAGUUGCAGCCCUAAUCUAUCUAUCUAUCUAUCCAUCUAUAUUCCUAUCUUAUAUCUAUCUAUCUAUUUAUCUAUCUAUCCAUCCAUCUAUCCGUCCGUCCGUCUGUCUGUCUGUCUAUCUAUCUAUCUUUCUCUGUCUGUCUGUUUAUCCAUCUAUCUAUCUAUAUCAAUCUAUCUAUCUAUCCGUCUAUCUGUCUGUCUGUCUGUCUGUCUGUCUGUCUGUUUGUCCGUCCGUCCGUCCGUCCGUCCAUCCAUCCAUCCAUCAAUUUAUAUCUAUUUUUCCAUCUAUCCGUCCGUCUGUCUGUCUGUCUGUCUGUCUCUCUGUCUAUCUAUCUAGCCAUCCAUCUAUCUAUCUAUAUCUAUAUCUAUAUAUCUAUCUAUCUGUCUGUCUGUCUGUCUGUCUGUCUGUCUGUCUGUCUGUCCGUCCGUCCAUCCAUCCAUCUAUCUAUAUCUAUCUUUCCAUCUAUCCGUCCGUCUGUCUGUCUGUCUGUCUGUCUGUCUGUCUGUCUGUCUAUCUAUCUAUCUAUCUAUCUAUCUAUCUGUCUGUCUGUCUGUCUGUCUAUCUAUCUAGCCAUCCAUCUAUCUAUCUUUAUCUAUAUCUAUCUAUCUAUCCAUCUAUCUGUCUGGCUGUCUGUCCGUCCAUCCGUCCGUCCAUCCAUCUAUCUAUCUAUCUAUUCUGUAGUGCCCUAUAAAUUAAAUUUUAUUAUUAUUAUUAUUAUUAUUAUUAUUAUUAUUAUUAUUAUUAUUAUUAUAUUAUUAUUAUCUAUCUAACUGUCUAUCUAGUCUCGUUGAUGGAACUGCAGUGUGUAAUGACAGGUUUCCAUCGGUAGAUGGCGCCAUUUGUUCGAUCAUCUAGAUAACAACCAGCCAUGAACUCAUUUGACCGAAGUCCCCUAUUUUAUUUACGACUUUAUCCCUUAGAUCCCUUACAUUUUUUUUUUACAUCACUUAUCUUUUAAAUUCUCAUAUUUUAUACUCUUAAUCUGAAAUAUUCUGUUUUGAUUAGUUUGAACGAUUUUCAUAACCCCAAU